Molecule: long non-coding RNA, 1363 nt
Filed under: Volvox carteri
Lineage: Eukaryota; Viridiplantae; Chlorophyta; Chlorophyceae; Chlamydomonadales; Volvocaceae
Description: long non-coding RNA (VCAR_LNC000056)
Source: RNAcentral
CACCGCAGAGAGCCGUGCUUAACUCGGCUGUAACGACGCCGCUGUGGGAACUGCACUGCAUGCGGCCGGUGACCUGCCAUUAUUAUUUCCGGGUUGCAGUCCAGCAUCGCGACCUGCAGCAACUCCUGCACAAUAGCUAGCUUGCGGUCCCGCUCAGGCACUAUUUGUUGUCCUGGGUGUUCGCACGACACCCACUCCAGCUGGAGCCCUCCCUCCAGGUGGCCUAGCCAACGUCUCUGUCCGUGAGCGGGCAUCUUCUUUAGCUGCCUGGAAGACCUCUCACCACACUGCUACAUGUGUAAGUAGCUUUCCUGGCUGGCAGUCCUCGGGUCCGGAAGCGAAAGACGAUCUCUUCUACAACUCUUUCUCAUUCUGCUGAUCUACUGCGUCAUGUCGCCCUAGAGGCUGUAGCCUCUGUCCGGCCUCCUGGAGCAGCUGUAUGCCUCGCUGCACGCUUCCUUGGGUGUCCCCGCUCCCCUUGCUGGUGUUCGUCCUGCGACGCCGGGUUCUCCCCUUUCUGCUCCUCACUCACCCACUUGCUGCCUUCACAAGGGUCAUCGUUUCACGACAGCCGUUCGUCCAGAUCAGCUCCCUCCUCCUCCCGGGUGUCCGUGUGGUGGCCAGUGCUAGAUCCUCCGGCUCCUUCCCCCUUCUAUCCCCCGCUUGAUCGCAGUUAACACAGUAAGCCUGGGCUUCUGGGCUUGGGUCUCCUUGCGCGGCGCCCCGUUGUGGCUAACGAGGGCGUCCGCCCAUUGGGCCACCCGUACUGCCUCCGUUGCUGGGUGUUCAUACCGGCAGCGCUGCCCAACCUGCACCUUAACACAGGGCCCCUUCCCCGCGUAGCUAGUACACAAGUCAGUGCCAUUCACAUAGCCCCUGUACACGCUCUCCGUGAUCUGCUCCUCCCCCAAUUCCUGGUAUCCCCGCCGACCCAGCUCCCGGUUUAGAGCCACCACUACGCUGGCAGGCGGGCUCAGCCGCGGUCCAUCGCGGCCCCUCACCGUGAGGCGUUCCCGGGUUAACUAGGCCCUGGUAGCCCACACCCACCGGGCUACGACUUGCGCUCCUCUGGUCGUGGAAGCCGGGAACCCCCGAUUGCCGCCCUUCCCAUGCCGUUCUGCUGCCCACACUCUUCCUGCGCUCAAUGCCAACCUCCUCCUAAAUUCCUUAGUAGGCUGUGAGCCAGCUGCCAUGCGCCCCUGGGAACUUCACGGCCGUGCGCGUGAACAGUACCACGGCCGGCCAGGUUCACUCCCGCAACUCCUUGAACAUCGGAGCCUGACAUCCACAGCCUGGAGGGCCGCCUCUAACCCGAACACCCGGCAUUCGCGGGCCUGCUGCUGUAGCUUGAACUCACUCUUCC